AACGAACGCUGGCGGCAGGCUUAACACAUGCAAGUCGAACGAACGUAGCAAUACGUUAGUGGCGCACGGGUGAGUAACGCGUGGAUAUCUGCCUUUUGGUUCGGGAUAACCUUGGGAAACUAGGGCUAAUACCGAAUGGUUCCUACGGGAUAAAGAUUUAUCGCCAAAAGAUGAGUCCGCGUCCGAUUAGCUAGUUGGUGUGGUAACGGCGCACCAAGGCGACGAUCGGUAGCUGGUCUGAGAGGACGAUCAGCCACACUGGGACUGAGACACGGCCCAGACUCCUACGGGAGGCAGCAGUGGGGAAUAUUGGACAAUGGGGGCAACCCUGAUCCAGCCAUGCCGCGUGAGUGAUGAAGGCCUUCGGGUUGUAAAGCUCUUUUGGCGGGGACGAUGAUGACGGUACCCGCAGAAUAAGCCCCGGCUAACUUCGUGCCAGCCGCCGCAGUAA
RNAcentral lists this ribosomal RNA (451 nucleotides) under uncultured bacterium. RNAcentral describes it as "partial 16S ribosomal RNA". It matches the Rfam family "Bacterial small subunit ribosomal RNA", at positions 29 to 523 of the family's 1533-position model. The record is from RNAcentral.